Molecule: unclassified non-coding RNA, 391 nt
Filed under: soil metagenome
Description: partial contains 5.8S ribosomal RNA, internal transcribed spacer 2, and large subunit ribosomal RNA
Rfam family: 5.8S ribosomal RNA (bases 1-122)
Source: RNAcentral
GAUGAAGAACGCAGCGAAAUGCGAUACUUGGUGUGAAUUGCAGAAUCCCGUGUACCAUCGAGUCUUUGAACGCAAGUUGCGCCCGAAGCCACUAGGCCGAGGGCACGCCUGCCUGGGCGUCACACGUCGUUGCCCCCCCAUCUACUCCUUCGGGAUUGCGGGGGGGCGGAUGAUGGCCUCCCGUGCGCCUAGCCGCGCGGUUGGCAUAAAUACCAAGUCCUCGGCGACGCACGCCACGACAAUCGGUGGUUGCGAAACCUCGGUUGCCCGUCGUGUGCGUUCGUCGCGCAUCGAGGGCUCGAAAAAAUGCUCGGCUUCGGCUCGGCUUUCAACGCGACCCCAGGUCAGGCGGGGUUACCCGCUGAAUUUAAGCAUAUCAAUAAGCGGAGGA